UACGUAGGGGGCUAGCGUUGUCCGGAAUCAUUGGGCGUAAAGAGCGUGUAGGCGGCCCGGUAAGUCCGCUGUGAAAGUCGGGGGCUCAACCCUCGAAAGCCGGUGGAUACCGUCGGGCUAGAGUGCGGAAGAGGCGAGUGGAAUUCCUGGUGUAGCGGUGAAAUGCGCAGAUAUCAGGAGGAACACCGAUUGCGAAGGCAGCUCGCUGGGACGUAACUGACGCUGAGGAGCGAAAGCGUGGGGAGCGAACAGG
RNAcentral lists this ribosomal RNA (253 nucleotides) under uncultured bacterium. RNAcentral describes it as "partial 16S ribosomal RNA". It matches the Rfam family "Bacterial small subunit ribosomal RNA", at positions 524 to 776 of the family's 1533-position model. The record is from RNAcentral.